AGAAUCAACGCUGGCGGCGUGCCUCAGACAUGCAAGUCGAACGAUUAAAGCUCUCUUCGGAGAGUGUAUAGAGUGGCGCACGGGUGAGUAACACGUAAGUAAUCUACCUUUGAGUGGGGAAUAACCCGGGGAAACCCGAGCUAAUACCGCAUAAUGCAGCGGCAUCGCAAGAUGACAGUUGUUAAAGGAGCAAUCCGCUUAAAGAGGAGCUUGCGGCAGAUUAGCUAGUUGGUAAGGUAAUGGCUUACCAAGGCUACGAUCUGUAUCCGGUCUAAGAGGACGGUCGGACACACUGACACUGAAUAACGGGUCAGACUCCUACGGGAGGCAGCAGUCGGGAAUUUUGGGCAAUGGGCGAAAGCCUGACCAGCAACGCCGCGUGAAGGAUGAAGUAUUUCGGUAUGUAAACUUCGAAAGAAUAGGAAGAAUAAAUGACGGUACUAUUUAUAAGGUCCGGCUAACUACGUAGCCAAGCAGCCGAC
RNAcentral lists this ribosomal RNA (482 nucleotides) under uncultured soil bacterium. RNAcentral describes it as "bacterial SSU rRNA". It matches the Rfam family "Bacterial small subunit ribosomal RNA", at positions 26 to 518 of the family's 1533-position model. The record is from RNAcentral.